AUUGAACGCUGGCGGCAGGCCUAACACAUGCAAGUCGGACGGUAGCACAGAGGAGCUUGCUCCUCGGGUGACGAGUGGCGGACGGGUGAGUAAUGUCUGGGGAUCUGCCCGAUAGAGAGGGAUAACCACUGGAAACGGUGGCUAAUACCGCAUAACGUCGCAAGACCAAAGAGGGGGACCUUCGGGCCUCUCACUAUCGGAUGAACCCAGAUGGGAUUAGCUAGUAGGCGGGGUAACGGCCCACCUAGGCGACGAUGCCUAGCUGGUCUGAGAGGAUGACCAGCCACACUGGAACUGAGACACGGUCCAGACUCCUACGGGAGGCAGCAGUGGGGAAUAUUGCACAAUGGGCGCAAGCCUGGUGCAGCCAUGCCGCGUGUAUGAAGAAGGCCUUCGGGUUGUAAAGUACUUUCAGCGGGGAGGAAGGCGAUGUGGUUAAUAACCGCAUUGAUUGACGUUACCCGCAGAAGAAGCACCGGCUAACUCCGUGCCAGCCGCCGCAGUAA
This 506-nucleotide ribosomal RNA is filed under the name uncultured bacterium. RNAcentral describes it as "partial 16S ribosomal RNA". It matches the Rfam family "Bacterial small subunit ribosomal RNA", at positions 29 to 523 of the family's 1533-position model. The record is from RNAcentral.